Long non-coding RNA from Mus musculus (house mouse), 576 nucleotides. RefSeq annotates it as predicted gene, 33022. The transcript is spliced from 3 exons. The record is from RefSeq and is a predicted model, not a curated record. NCBI's taxonomy places the organism in Eukaryota, Metazoa, Chordata, Mammalia, Rodentia, Muridae.
AGGGGUGGGAAGCCGAUGGCUCAGGACAGCCGUGAUAACCCGGCACAGAAGCAGAGUCGCAUUUCGGAGCGUCCACUCAUAAUGGGCACACAGAGCCUGUAUUCCAGGGAAGAGAAGGCCAGGGCGGCCCUGGAGAGGUUGUAGGUGCAGGCUGGUUGGUGGUGGAGACCCUGCCGGGCUCAGGAAGGCACUGUUCUUUCCUCACUUCCUUCCCAGCAUGCACUUGUACAUGCUGUACAUACACUCCAGUCUCUUCAGUACCACAACAGGACUACAAAUUCUUUAGAGGAUGUACAGCCAAACAAGGUGACCGCCUGCCAAGAGAGCUUAUUAAGAGAUUUCAUUUCUUGUGCAUCCAGAUAGUUCUUGGCUGGAACUCCCUUCAUUAUUCUUCUGGAAACAUAGCCCACAGCGAUGAUUGGGAAGAUUACCAUCAUUCUCCUGUCUUCCUUAGACCCAUGUUUCCACAGCUCCAGGUAUUUCUUCCUCACCAACCUCUCCUUUCUGGACAUGUGCUACACCACAAGCAUUGUGCCUCAGAUGCUAACUGACCUGAGGGCCUCCACAAAGACCAUC